CGAAAUGCGAUAAGUAGUGUGAAUUGCAGAAUUCAGUGAAUCAUCGAAUCUUUGAACGCACCUUGCA
RNAcentral lists this ribosomal RNA (67 nucleotides) under uncultured Clavariaceae. Its description in RNAcentral is "partial 5.8S ribosomal RNA". It matches the Rfam family "5.8S ribosomal RNA", at positions 49 to 115 of the family's 154-position model. Rfam says of the family: 5.8S ribosomal RNA (5.8S rRNA) is a component of the large subunit of the eukaryotic ribosome. It is transcribed by RNA polymerase I as part of the 45S precursor that also contains 18S and 28S rRNA. The record is from RNAcentral. Lineage: Eukaryota; Fungi; Basidiomycota; Agaricomycetes; Agaricales; Clavariaceae.